This 253-nucleotide ribosomal RNA is filed under the name uncultured microorganism. RNAcentral's name for it is "partial 16S ribosomal RNA". It matches the Rfam family "Bacterial small subunit ribosomal RNA", at positions 524 to 776 of the family's 1533-position model. The record is from RNAcentral.
UACGGAGGGUGCAAGCGUUAAUCGGAAUUACUGGGCGUAAAGCGUACGUAGGCGGCGUGUUAAGCAAGAUGUGAAAUCCCCGGGCUCAACCGGGGAAUGGCAUUUUGAACUGGCAGGCUCGAGUUCUGAAGAGGGUGGUAGAAUUUCCAGUGUAGCGGUGAAAUGCGUAGAUAUUGGAAGGAAUACCGGUGGCGAAGGCAGCCACCUGGUCAGAAACUGACGCUGAGGCACGAAAGCGUGGGGAGCAAACAGG